UACGUAGGGUGCAAGCGUUGUCCGGAAUUAUUGGGCGUAAAGAGCUCGUAGGCGGUUUGUUGCGUCGGCUGUGAAAUCCCGAGGCUCAACCUCGGGUCUGCAGUCGAUACGAGCAAACUAGAGUGUUGCAGGGGAGACUGGAAUUCCUGGUGUAGCGGUGAAAUGCGCAGAUAUCAGGAGGAACACCGGUGGCGAAGGCGGGUCUCUGGGCAACAACUGACGCUGAGGAACGAAAGCUAGGGGAGCAAACAGG
Molecule: ribosomal RNA, 253 nt
Filed under: uncultured bacterium
Lineage: Bacteria
Description: partial 16S ribosomal RNA
Rfam family: Bacterial small subunit ribosomal RNA
Source: RNAcentral